Molecule: ribosomal RNA, 488 nt
Filed under: uncultured bacterium
Lineage: Bacteria
Description: partial 16S ribosomal RNA
Rfam family: Bacterial small subunit ribosomal RNA
Source: RNAcentral
GACGAACGCUGGCGGCGUGCUUAACACAUGCAAGUCGAACGAAAAUACCAAGCUUGCUUGGUUGAUUAGUGGCGAACGGGUGAGUAACACGUGAGUAACCUGCCCCUUACUUUCCUGGAUAACUGCUCGAAAGGGUAGCUAAUACGGGAUAUUCUGACCAGCCUGCAUGGGUUGGUUUGGAAAGGUUGUUUUUCUGGUAAGGGAUGGGCUCGCGGCCUAUCAGCUUGUUGGUGGGGUGAUGGCCUACCAAGGCUUUGACGGGUAGCCGGCCUGAGAGGGUGGACGGUCACACUGGGACUGAGAUACGGCCCAGACUCCUACGGGAGGCAGCAGUGGGGAAUAGUGCACAAUGGGCGCAAGCCUGAUGCAGCGACGCCGCGUGAGGGAUGAAGGCCUUCGGGGUGUAAACCUCUUUCGUCAGGGAACAAGGCACUGCUUUUUUGGUGGUGUUGAGGGUACCUGGAUAAGAAGCGCCGGCUAACUACGUG